GACGAACGCUGGCGGCGUGCCUAAUACAUGCAAGUCGAACGCUGAAGGAGGAGCUUGCUUCUCUGGAUGAGUUGCGAACGGGUGAGUAACGCGUAGGUAACCUGCCUGGUAGCGGGGGAUAACUAUUGGAAACGAUAGCUAAUACCGCAUAAGAGUAGAUGUCGCAUGACAUUUGCUUAAAAGGUGCAAUUGCAUCACUACCAGAUGGACCUGCGUUGUAUUAGCUAGUUGGUGAGGUAACGGCUCACCAAGGCAACGAUACAUAGCCGACCUGAGAGGGUGAUCGGCCACACUGGGACUGAGACACGGCCCAGACUCCUACGGGAGGCAGCAGUAGGGAAUCUUCGGCAAUGGACGGAAGUCUGACCGAGCAACGCCGCGUGAGUGAAGAAGGGUUUCGGAUCGUAAAGCUCUGUUGUAAGAGAAGAACGAGUGUGAGAGUGGAAAGUUCACACUGUGACGGUAGCUUACCAGAAAGGGACGGCUAACUACGUG
RNAcentral lists this ribosomal RNA (495 nucleotides) under uncultured bacterium. RNAcentral's name for it is "partial 16S ribosomal RNA". It matches the Rfam family "Bacterial small subunit ribosomal RNA", at positions 28 to 507 of the family's 1533-position model. The record is from RNAcentral.